GAGUCACUGCCUCUCUCCUUUUCUCCCUUUUUAUUUAUGUGUUUCCCCCCCCCCCCCACCACCUGGCUGCAGUCCAGGCCCAUCCUCACAGUGGGCCAGCCACAGAGAAAAGCAAACCCCGUGCCAAAUAACAUGUAAUAUGCUGCUUUUUGGCGCUGCCCACUUUCCAGUUCUGUGUUUUUGCAGAGCCAGCAUCACACAGGAAGACAAUGGGACGUUUCUCAAAAUAAGAAACAGCAGCACUCUGUGGUGCCGAGCAUCAUCUCUGGUUCAUGGUAGAUUGAACCAUCAUAUCGAGGCAGAAAUGUGAAGCCGCGUACCGACUCAAGAGGUCCAGUGUGAACUUGCCUGGGUGGGCAUCUUCUAGACAAGUCUCAACAUGCCAGGGAUGAUGUCCACACUCCAAAAAAAACACAAGAAUAUGGCAAAAGUAACCUUCUUGCUUUUGGGAGAUCCUACAGUACAAUCAGUGCAGUGAAGUCAGGGAGCCAAUGGAGAGGCCUUCUGCGGAUCGUGACACCAGAAAUGGCAAUCCCAAGACUCUCUACAGCAGGUUCCUGCAAGGGCACCAGGGUAAGGCAAGCACGGGUCUGAGAAGGGGCAACAUCCUACCAAGGGGAAGGUAUGGAAUUCUACUUACGCUCAUGCCCUCCAGUCAACUCAAAGAGCUUAACCCAGGAUGUCCGACAUUCCGGGGACCAUCUCACACAGUUAUCCGCCGAUUUAUAGUAGCUUAGUGCAAUUGCUGACCCUUCAACUCCAUCAAACGCUGCACCCAUCUUACAGUCUUUCAAAAGCAGCUACACAAUAGAAACAAUUUCGGCAGGAUCUGAGCCAAAGAGAGACAGUUGUGCUAUGACCUCUGGCUACAAAUCAUUCUAAAUUGCAGCUUUUUCAUUCCAGUUUUGUUCAUAUUCUGCUGCUACCGUGAAGCUCUCUUGAGGGACACCUCGUCCAUCAUUCUCUCUAAAGAUUGCAACCGGGCAUUAUCCAAAACCCCCCCAUCAUCUAAAGAUUUGUUUGUUUCCAGUAGACCUACUUAAGUCCUUGACCCAAAAUGCAUUACAGCACCCAGCAAAGUGUAAGGGGCCUUAGAUCCAUGGGCUGCAAUAGAAGCCAAGUGGGACAGAAAACCUACUGGAUAGUAGCUCUCCAGGACCUGAGUUGGAGAGCCCUGCCCUACAGCAUCAUCGGAUCACGCAUAACCUGUACGAGCUCCUCAUGGCUACAGGCUUUUUCUCCCGUUUGGCACAACAUCACCAUGCAGACUAAGCGGCAGCUCCAGGCCACUCAGCACAUGUCGAUGAGCUGGAAAAGAUCCAGUUAGAAGCAAAUGAUUCCGCUUCUAAAUCAAUCAAAAUAUGACCGAGAUCAAACACACACCACACCUGACAUCAGAACACAAAGAGUGGUGCUUCUAGAAUGAAUUAGUGUAGCCGUUACACACGAAACAUUGUUAUGACACAUUUUGAUGCUUCUUGCAGACAGACGGCAUAGCGCCAUUAAUACCGACAAAAAGCCCAUGACUUACCAGUCGCAUGAUUGUUGCAGAAAAAUGUGAGACCUAGAACAGCCAUGGGGCAAAGAACCGGUCAAACAGGCAUAGAGAUGGGACUGGGUUCAAACACAGUGACCUUGUAGGUACGAGAGCUGUGAAGUAUGACGUACGCGAUGAACCGGUGUUGACAUGUGCAAAUACUUAACCAUGUUUCUCCCUCAGGGUCCAUUGUCGGUAAUAGCUUCAGCUGAAAGUCUGGAAAAUCAAGCAACUGACGCUUUCUAAUAAACAGUAAUAAAGAAAUUCCUACAGAAUUUUUGGUUUCUCUGGAUUAAGGGGAAAUUCCCCAAAAAACACUAAACAAAUUUGGUUAUUCCUGUUCAUAGUUAUAUAACCUUAUAUGAAAGCCUCAAAUUGAUACUUAAUAAAAUUAGCAUUUUCAUCGCGCCAUGAAAAUCAUAACAUUUCACAGGCUCACUUCCCACCAUACACUUCACAGCCAUCUAGACCUCAACCACAAUCUUAUACUGAAGGCAACUGGAAAGGUAUCGGUAUCACAGACUACUGGAGGGUGGUGCUGUCCUUUUAAGUCUGGAUUGCAAUUAGAGGACAUAGGUAAGAUGUAGCCAGACUCUCAGCAUGACCCCCACCACUUGUGGCUGUUCUGUACUCCCACCCCCCAGGACCAAUGACCGCCAGCCCGCAUGCCUCAGCGUCUCUGGACUAUCGGACUGGUCAAAUCUAGCUAAAACUCUAUAGCGUCAAAUCAGACUCAGCAUAACCCUAAUUUGAAUUUAUUUACCUGAAUAUGAAUGUGUUCACUUGAACUUGAAUUUUGUUGCCUGAAUACCAGAAUCUGAUUUUGAAUGCAUCUACCUGAACUUUAAAUAAAGAAUGUUGCCUGCGUGGUAAUAAAACUUCAAGCUCGGGUUGUAAAAUUCAGGUUGAAUAAAUUCGGCCUGAGAAAUUCAAGUCCAGAAAAACAGCGAAAACAUCCAGGACACUCAAAGAGCAAACGAGCCUAGAUCUAAUCGGGUACAAUCCUGGCCAAACACAAGACAGGUCACCUGUCAUUUGGGAUCAGGUUAAAAACAAAUAAAUAAUCCAUAUGAUUACAAUCCUGAACUUGCAGCGUAGGGAACACGGUGACUUCCAUGAAAUGAAACCUAGCUGAAGCUCUGGCACUGAAACAGAAUGUUGAGAUCAGACAGAAACUCCCAUUAUAAAGAGUAUAAUCCAUGAGCAUUGCUGUGGUCCACUGAAUAUAUACAAGACAUCUGACUGCAGAGACACCAUAAGCUAGAAACCAUAAUUUUGCCAAUUUUUGGUGGUUUAUUGGAACUUUCAUCUCAAAUCUCUCUUGCAAACUCCUAAACACAUGGCAGUGGGCAGUCAUUAUCUCCAUCUUAAUCAGCAGCUCCUCAUACUUUAAUUCAUACACAUGCACAAAUUUUACACAGACACACACACACACACACACACACACUUCCUGGUCUGAUACACACACACAGGUUCUAUUAUUAUUCCUUAGCAAACCUUGCAUACCACAAUCCACAGAUGCUAUACUCCUGAGAAACAUUUCAGUUACUAGGCAACAUCAGAUAACUUCCCGAUAACAUGGUCGUGUUGCGCACCUUUACCGACUGCUUUACCCACAUGCUACUAAGUGUUGAAUUUCAAGGUUAUUCCGGACAGAACCAUCUGCCAAAUUAAAGCCGGCGAUCGGUGCCCAGAGGAAGAGGUCGUCAGAAUGCCCAGGACUCACCUGCAGA
Long non-coding RNA from Brienomyrus brachyistius, 3270 nucleotides. RefSeq lists it as uncharacterized. NCBI's taxonomy places the organism in Eukaryota, Metazoa, Chordata, Actinopteri, Osteoglossiformes, Mormyridae. The record is from RefSeq and is a predicted model, not a curated record. The transcript has 3 exons.